Molecule: ribosomal RNA, 253 nt
Filed under: uncultured bacterium
Lineage: Bacteria
Description: partial 16S ribosomal RNA
Rfam family: Bacterial small subunit ribosomal RNA
Source: RNAcentral
UACGUAUGGUGCAAGCGUUAUCCGGAUUUACUGGGCGUAAAGGGAGCGCAGGCGGCGCGCCAAGUCUGAUGUGAAACCCCGGGGCUCAACCCCGGGCAUGCAUUGGAAACUGGCGGGCUGGAGUGCCGGAGAGGUAAGCGGAAUUCCUAGUGUAGCGGUGAAAUGCGUAGAUAUUAGGAGGAACACCAGUGGCGAAGGCGGCUUACUGGACGGCAACUGACGCUGAGGCUCGAAAGCGUGGGGGGCAAACAGG